RNAcentral lists this ribosomal RNA (459 nucleotides) under uncultured bacterium. Its description in RNAcentral is "partial 16S ribosomal RNA". It matches the Rfam family "Bacterial small subunit ribosomal RNA", at positions 338 to 795 of the family's 1533-position model. The record is from RNAcentral.
CCUACGUGGGGCAGCAGUGGGGAAUAUUGGUCAAUGGGAGAAAUCCUGAACCAGCCACGCCGCGUGAGGGAAGACGGCCCUAUGGGUUGUAAACCUCUUUUGUCGGAGAACAAAACCCGGGACGUGUCCCGGACUGCCUGUAUCCGAAGAAACAGCAUCGGCUAACUCCGUGCCAGCAGCAGCGGUAAUACGGAGGAGCCGAGCGUUAUCCGGUUUUAGGGGGGUUACGGGGUGCGUAGGCGGUCCGUUAAGUCAGCGGGAAGAUUGCGGGGCGCAACCCCGUCGAGCCGUUGAAACUGGCAGACUUGAGUUGGCGAGAAGUACGCGGAAUGCGCGGUGUAGCGGUGAAAUGCAUAGAUAUCGCGCAGAACUCCGAUUGCGAAGGCAGCGUACCGGCGCCAGACUGACGCUGAGGCACGAAAGCGUGGGGAUCGAACAGGAUUAGAUACCCGAGUAGUC